GAUGAACGCUGGCGGCGUGCUUAACACAUGCAAGUCGAACGAAAAGGCCCUGCUUUUGCUGCUUGCUCGUGUGGCGAACGGGUGUGAAACACGUGAGUAACCUCUACUUGUCUUUGGGAUAUCUUCACGGGACUGGGGCUCUAAUCGGGUAGAAGCUCUUGCUCCGUGUGGGGCGUUGGUGAGUUUCGGCUGUGGUGGCUGGAUUGGCGGGUUAUCCGCUUGUUGGUGUGGUAGGUGCUGACCAAGGCUUUGAGGGAUAGCCGGCCUGAGAGGGUGACCGGGCACAAUGGGACUGAGAUACGCAGCAGACGCGUACGGGAGGCAGUAGGGGGGAAUAUUGCAGAGUGGGCGGACGCCUGAGGCAGAGACGCCGCGUGCGGGAUGCCGGCCUUCGGGUUGUAAACCGCUUUCGCCUGUGACGAAGCGUGAGUGACGGUAAUGGGUAAAGAAGCACCGGCUAACUACGUG
RNAcentral lists this ribosomal RNA (468 nucleotides) under uncultured bacterium. RNAcentral's name for it is "partial 16S ribosomal RNA". It matches the Rfam family "Bacterial small subunit ribosomal RNA", at positions 28 to 507 of the family's 1533-position model. The record is from RNAcentral.